GUUAUAGACUCCUCAUGUCUGAAUAACUAAUUACCUGCCUGUUAAAAGCAGAGGAAGCAGAUUAAAAAUGGAGUAUUGAACAGAGUAUUGAACAAGAGGAAGGACUGAAUAGGUCAUCUGCUGACCUGAGGAUAAGGAAAACUCAGGAGGAUUUGCUCCAUAACUUUCUCAGGGACUGAGGCGAUGAUGAUUGGCCUGUAGUUCUCCAGAUCCUCCUUCUAG
Molecule: long non-coding RNA, 222 nt
Filed under: Apteryx owenii (little spotted kiwi)
Lineage: Eukaryota; Metazoa; Chordata; Aves; Apterygiformes; Apterygidae
Description: lncRNA (ENSAOWG00000011774.1)
Source: RNAcentral